CUAGCAUUAGACAAAGCCAUUGAAGGAUGCCUAGGAAUUUAUUCUUGGACGAUAUUAAUAUCGAAAUUAUAAACUGAGCUUUAAAGAGUCAAUAAGGUUUAUUUAUCCAUUUUUGAAAACGAAUAAAAUAUAUUUGUUAUGACUUUAGGGAAGUGAAACAUCUCAGUACCUGAAGUAUUUAAAUCAAACGAGAAUACGUUAGUAGUGGUGAGCGAAAAUGUAUAAGGCCUUAAAAAUUAGAAGUUAAUUGUAAGAAUACCCAAUUGGAAAUUGGUGGAGCCUUAGAGGGUGAUUGCCCCGUAUUACGAAUCUUCUUUUGAUUGUGAGUAGAGCGGAGCUUGUGUAACUUUGCUUGAAUACAGUAGAACCACCUACUAAGCCUUUUAAAUAUAAAUUACCGAUAGUGAACAAGUACCGUGAGGGAAACGGUUAAAAAGAACUUCUUAAAGAAAAUUUAAAAGAUACUGAAAUUAAUGGCUGAACAGCAGUCGGAGCAUUUAGUGACGGCGUACCUUUUGCAUAAUGGGUCAGCGACUUAAUUUAUCUAGCAAACCUAAAUUUUUAAAGUUAGGUGCAGCGAAAGCAAGCUUUAAUAGGGCGUUAAGUUAGAUAAAUUAGACCCGAAGCCAAGUGAUCUAACCAUGAGCAGGUUGAAGGUAGCGUAAUACACUACUGGAGGACCGAACCGACGUCUGUUGAAAGAGACGCGGAUGACUUGUGGUUAGGAGUGAAAGGCUAAACAAACUUGGUGAUAGCUGGUUUUCUACGAAAUCUAUUUAGGUAGAGUGAGGUACGUUAAGUUCAGCAGGUAGAGCACUAAAUAAGCUAGGGAUUUCGAUAAGAAUAUUUUGAACUUAUUGAAACUCCGAAUGGCUAAACUGUAAAUACUUUAAUCAGACUGCGAGUGCGAAGAUUCGUUGGUCAAGGGGGGAACAGCCCCUACUGUAAGUUAAGGUCCUGAAGUUAAUUCUAAAUAAUUAAGACUGCUCUUUUACGUUUAAUGUUAGCAGGUUGGCUUAGAGGCAGCCAUCCUUUAAAGAAAGCGUAACAGCUCACUAACAAUUUGUUUUAGAGUUUCAACAAUAAUUGGUUUUAUAGAUUUAUUCCGAAACUACAGAUUUUUAAUGGUAGUAGAAUGAACUGUGCGCUUUGAAGUUAAGAUGUAAAUUUUAAUUGAGCCCUCUGUUUUAAGUAUGCUGACAUGAGUAGCGCAAAUAAUGUUUUAUUAAUCAUUAUCACCGAAUAGCUAAGGUUUUCUUCGCUAGGCUCGACCACGAAGAGUUAGUCGGCCCCUAAGUACUGAAUGAUAAUUCAGUAUAAUGGGUUUUGUAAUUAAUACUUGCAAACUAAUUUUAGUGACGUAUACUUUUCUUAUACUUUGUUCUAAUUAGAUGUAGUUCAUUGCGUAAGUCUGUAUACUAUAAAAUAACUAAAAUAGCGUAUCUGAUAAGGUAUGUUUAACCGUACUGUAAACCGACACAGGUGGCUAAGUAGAGAAUACUAAGGUGACUGAGAGAAGGGUAUUGAAGGAACUCGGCAAAAUGACUCUGUAACUUCGGGAGAAAGAGUACCCUUUUAUGCAUGAAAGCUGUCUAGAGUAACAUCUAGAGGUUUGUACUAGCUGAAAGGGUGGCACAGAAUAGGGGGUAGCGACUGUUUAAUAAAAACACAGGACUCUGCUAAAUCGUAAGAUGAUGUAUAGGGUCUGACACCUGCCCGGUGCUGGUAGGUAAAAAGGAUUGGUGCAAGCCAAGAAUUGAAGCCCCAGUAAACGGCGGCUGUAACUAUGACGGUCCUAAGGUAGCGAAAUUCCUUGUCGGUUAAUUGCUGACGCGCAUGAAUGGUGUAACGACUUCCCCACUGUCUCCAGUACCUACUCAGCGAAAUUGAAUUCUUCGUGAAGAUGCGGAGUACUCGCAGCAAGACGGAAAGACCCUAUGCACCUUUACUUCACCUUUGUACUGCUUUAGAAAAAUAAAUGUGUAGAAUAGACAUUAGCCUAUGAGAACUUAGCUCCGGCUAACUUUUGAGGCAAAAAUGAAAUAGUGUUCUUUUAUUUUUCUUGAGCUAAUUGAUAUUCAAGACAAUGCAUGGUUGGUAGUUUGACUGGGGCGGUCGCCUCCUAAAAAGUAACGGAGGCGUACAAAGGUAAACUCAAGAUUUUUUGAAUCUUUAGAGCGCAAUGGUAUAAGUUUGCUUGACUGUUAGGCAGACACGCCAAACAGGGACGAAAGUCGGUCAUAGUGAUCCGGUGAUAUUGUGUGGAAAAGUCAUCGCUCAACGGAUAAAAGGUACGCUAGGGAUAACAGGCUAAUGAUCCCCAAGAGUCCUCAUCGCCGGGAUCGUUUGGCACCUCGAUGUCGGCUCAUCACAUCCUGGAGCAGAAGUAGGUUCCAAGGGUUCGGCUGUUCGCCGAUUAAAGUGGUACGUGAGCUGGGUUUAAAACGUCGUGAGACAGUUUGGUCCCUAUCUACUGUGAGAAUGAGAAUAUUGAAGUCCUAAGCCUAGUACGAGAGGACCGGAUGUUUAAAGUUUAACUAUUUUUGGGUGUAUCAAUUGUUAUCCAGCUGUUGCACUAGUAGCAUUGCUGGGACGCUACAUACAUCAUUUUUUAACUGCUGAAAUAAUAUAAGUAGGAAAGAUUCUUUAAUAUUCUUAUGCAUGAAAGUCUUAUACCAAGACGGGAUAGGUUAGCGGUGUAAACAUCGCAAUAUGUCAGCUAGCUAAUACUAAUUUUUAUGUCGUUUGCGGAUU
This 2754-nucleotide ribosomal RNA is filed under the name Vermamoeba vermiformis. Its description in RNAcentral is "LSU rRNA". It matches the Rfam family "Bacterial large subunit ribosomal RNA". Lineage: Eukaryota; Tubulinea; Echinamoebida; Vermamoebidae. The record is from RNAcentral.